RNAcentral lists this long non-coding RNA (816 nucleotides) under Mus pahari (shrew mouse). RNAcentral's name for it is "lncRNA (MGP_PahariEiJ_G0005048.1)". Lineage: Eukaryota; Metazoa; Chordata; Mammalia; Rodentia; Muridae. The record is from RNAcentral.
GGAAGGAGGAUUGAACUUCCCCCUCCACCCCACCUCUACAAGCCCCCCCCCCCCAUUGAGUAAUUAGAGCUAAUAUCUGAGUAAUGGACACACUACCAAGCAUGCCUGAACUACCGGCCUUGAGCUACAGAUGGCGCUGUGAGACCAAAGGCGCUGACCUUAUGGGGGAUAGGUCUGAAUUGGAGACACCCUGCCAUGGUGGCCCUUUAUCUUCACAAAUAAGUAAUACCUGAAGACUGCGAUGCCCAGACUGUCCUUUCUGUCUCAUACGUUGGUGGAAAGACUAUGUCCAGUGGACAGCAGAUACCUGGGGCUCAUUUUGCUGUUUUCAAAGUUCCUUUGUGAAAGGUUAUGGCCACAAAGAAGCAAAAAGCCUUGAAGUGACAGAUGUCCCAGAAGAAUGUUUUCCUCCUUUGGAUCUUUUCUUUAAAAAUGUGAGAAAUGAAGAAGAGCUUGAGUUGGUUGUUGAUUUGUCAUGCACUGAGCACUUCUGUGAAGCAGAGGUGGCAAAGCCGAGAAAACCCAUUUCCGCUCCCACUGCCCCCACUGAUACAUGGUUAUUGUGAGUUUCUAGGAAGGAGAGUGACAACGAUGAACUUCCAAGUGGCUCAGAGAGGACCAGCAAGCCUUAUUAUCUCUGUGACCUAACUGACGCCAUGGCUUUUAUUUCUUCUACUUUGCUGUGUAUACCGAACAGUGGUGUGCCAUGUUUAUGUGAGUGGAACCCUCUACCUAGACAGAAUGAUACUUCUUUCAAUUCUUUCAAGUUGCUAGUUUAAAAAAAUCCAGUUAUAAAAUGAGAACAUGAGAAAACUG